Molecule: non-coding RNA, 143 nt
Organism: Gossypium hirsutum (cotton)
Lineage: Eukaryota; Viridiplantae; Streptophyta; Magnoliopsida; Malvales; Malvaceae
Source: Rfam
UAUUAAAAAUUUCAUCCCAUUGUAUUGUGAAAAAUUGUCGUGGCUGACAAAAUAACCAGAUAAUGACAUUUGGUGUGCCACAUGUACUUCAUAUUGACGUACGGAGACCAAAUUUUAAAGGUAGAAACAUGAGAUUUUUAAUA